This 5536-nucleotide long non-coding RNA is filed under the name Homo sapiens (human). RNAcentral's name for it is "HSALNT0035004". The record is from RNAcentral. Lineage: Eukaryota; Metazoa; Chordata; Mammalia; Primates; Hominidae.
GAAGCACAAGACGCUACUAUACAGGGAGUUACGUAGGAGGAGGUAGUGCAGCUAGAGCCCAGAGUGGGGGCCAUCUGGUGGGAUCUGAAACCCCAUAGAGGCUGCCUGAUGGGAGCUGAGAUCAUGGAGGGAGGGCCUGUAGAGUAGAUGUGAGAGCCACCUAAGGACAUAACUGUUGCCAGAGACACUACAGGAAGAAGAGAAAGAGAGAGAGAUACCUUGGCUUCUCUCCACCUCCUCCCUCUCUCCCAGCUUUCCAUUGGCUGAACCAACCUGGAAGCCAGAGAGCAAGGGAGCCUGGGAAACGCAGUUCUCUGUGAUAUAGCACAAAGGCUCAGAAAGGCAGAGAAUUACUCCGAGAGGAAAAGGCAGUUGACCACAGCCGUUUAUUAGUUGUGUGACCUUGAGGAAGUUAGUUAACCUCAGUUGCCUUAGCUUCCUCCUCCAAAAAGUGGAGAUGAAUAAUAGUAGUACUUUCCUCACAAGGCCACUGCGAGGAUUAAAUGCAUUAGUACGUGUUACAUAUUUUGUAUUAUUUAACUUAGUAAGUGUUAUUUAUUAUUAUUGUAUAAAAUGAAGAUAGCAAUACCUAUCUUGCAGAGUACUAUAAGAUGUUUGCCGGCCAGGCGUGGUGGCUCAUGCCUGUAGUCCCAACACUUUGUGAGGUCAAGACAGGAGGAUCACUUGAGGCCAGGAGUUUAAGACUAGCCUGGGCAACACAGUGAGACCCAGUCCCUACAAACAAAUUUAAAACUGGGGCAAGGGGGAGGGUUUCAAAUUUAAAAAAAUUUAAAAUUAGCCUUGGCCGGGCAUGGUGGCUCAUGCCUCCCAGCUACCUGGGAGGCCGAGGCAGGCCAAUCACCUGAGGUCGGAAGUUCGAGACCAGCUUGACCAAUAUGGAGAAACCUCAUCUCUACUAAAACUACAAAAUUAGCUGGGCAUGGUGGUUCAUGGCUGUAAUCUCAGCUACUUGGGAGGCUGAGGCAGGAGAAUCGCUUGAACCCGGGAGGUGGAGGUUGCAGUGAGCUGAGAUCGCACCAUUGCACUCCAGCCUGGGCAACAAGAGUGAAACUCCGUUUCAAAAAAAAAAAAAUCAGCCAUGCAUGGUGAUGCAUGCCUGUAGUCCUAGUUACUCAGGAGGCUGAGAUGGGAGGAUCACUUGGGCCUAGGAGUUCGAGGCUGCUGUGAGCCCUGAUUGCACCACUGCACUCCAUCCUGGCUGCCCAAAAAGAAAGGUUUGCACCGUGUUGUGCACAUAGUACUGGGUACUUCAUAAAUGUUAGUCCCCCUUGUAGCCCAGUGUGCUCACUAAUAUCUGUAGCCGAUAAUAACAAUGGCUUUGACCUGGGGAGGAAGCAGCCUCCCCAGAGUAGGGAGGGACAUUCUUCUUGCAUUACCAGAGAUCUAGGAGGACUCUGGAGGGCUGGGACUUCAGUAGUCCAGGCAGUGCACACCCCUACAUCAGCCAAUAUGAACACACAGAGAUGCAUUUGGAGUAACAUCUGCAUUCUUUUCUGGACCUUCUCUUCUUGAUCCCAUUGGUGUCCCUUCUUUGAUUUUAGCCUGAUUUUUUUUUUUUUUUUUUUGGCUCAUGCUGAUAAUUAUCUGUUUUUGCACUCACUUAUUGCCCCAACUGAUCCUCCCAACAAACCCCCUGAUGCAGCCAGGGAAGCUUCACUAUCCCCAUUGAGCAGUAGCAGAAGCCAACACUUUGAGAGGACACGUGUCUGACCCAAAGGCCCACAGGGAGUAGGCUAAGUAGUCAGGACUUGGGACAAGGCCUUCUCACUCUAGCUCAGGACUCUUCCUGCUAAUAUCCCAGGCUGCCUCCACAGCAUGUGUGAGUUAAUGCACACACACACACUCACACUCACACUAAUACACCCACCCCUAAACACACACAUAAUAGAUUCAAUAUCUCUGAAGGAAGGGUUCAUGCCUUAUCAAUUUCCUGCUACAGAUAAACUACCUGGCAGCUGAAAUAUAAUAAAUGAUUGUGGAAUUGAGUUGACAUUGACUGCUACACUGCACCCCCUUGGGGGACUAACAGGGAGCACACAGAUGAGGACCACAGCCAGAGCCAGAGCCAGAGUCCAAGUCCAUCUUGACAACUCAGAGAAGACUUUGGCCCUUGCUUCUGGCUCUGUCCACGCCCUUCGUAGCACCCACGGAGCAGAGGGGCCUGGUCACAGGGAGAGGCUGAGAUGCCCAGAGAAAUGGAUCUGGCCACCUGAGCUGAGGCUUCUCUGAAGGUGAGUCUUCACCGACCCCGCCCUAGUAGUGGUGAAUCGCGUGUCCUGCCCUGUUCUCUGCUGCCCCUGAGCAGUGUCUGAACCAGGGGCGCCUUUUAACGCCACAGAUUCUGCCUCAGGGCGUGGAACACCUUCUUCUAGAGGGGCGCGUGAGAACUCUGGUAGGCAGGAGCUUGCUCUGAAACUACUGUGCUAGUCAACCAAUUGCCUCAGCUGGCCACCCAGGGCCUGGCAUCCACACUGGUCCCUGGCAAGCCGUUCUGCACAGAGGUUUUCACACACGUGGGUACGGAGCACUGGCAGGAAGUACGAGACAUUAGAAAUUAGAAGCCCAAGCUAAUAACACAGAUCACCAUCGGGGCUUCACUUUUUGCCAGCCACUUCUACGUAAAUAUAUCUGGUUCUACCCUUCACUCAGCCAAGGCAUGGGCGCUACUGGCCUCUGACUCAGCGCUCUUCAUUGGCCUCAGCUGUUAAACUUGCUCCCUUCUGAUAUUUUGCAGAUGCUAAGCACUCAACUGGUUUGUUGUGGCUUUGCAUCGUGCUCUUUCUCAUAAUCCUGAGAUGAGAGGCCACUAUGUCCUCUGGGUCUGCGGGACUUCUGGGGCAAGGGUGCGGGGCAGGCCCAGCACAGGUGUCCAGGGAGCUGCCCACACUGCCGCUGUGUGCUCUUGGGAGUCCUGUUGGCUGUUCCAUUCUCCUCUCUGCCCACAGAGGUCACAGUGCCCUUGCGAGUAAGCAGGAGAAGGCAGAGUCAUGAAUUAGCAACUGGAAAGGAUAAAUGCCAAAGGCCUUGCUAUGAAAUCGAGGACCCCGCACCAGCUGCCCCGAGGUCCCUCUGGCUCAUUUCCUCCUGUUCUCUCCUCACGUCACUCCUCAUUUUUCCUGGAACAUGCCAGGCCCACUCCUGCCCCAGGGCCUUUGCAUCACAUGCCAUCCAGAUAACCUGGUGCUCCCUUCCGGAUUCCUGCUUAGCUUUUUGUUCUAAUGUCUUUUUUCUUUUUAUUUUUUAUUUUUAUUUUUUUGAAUCGUGGUCUUGCUUUGUCACCCAAGCGAGGCUGCAGUGGUGUGAUCAUGGCUCACUGUGGCUUUGAAUUCCUGACCUCAAGUGAUCCUCCAGCCUUAGCCUACCAAAAGCUGGGAUUACAGGCAUAUGCCACGGUGCCCAGCCCUAAUGUUACUUACUCAUUGAGGCCUUCCUUAGCUGCUGUCUCUACAAUUGCAAGCCCCCACCCCUCCCCACCCCCCACCAUCUGCUUUUUCCUUGGUGCCUCUCACCGUCUAUCUUAUCUCGUUAAUGUUUGGUCUCCCCACCUCAGUGUUUUCAUCUGUUUGCCUGCUGCUGCAUCACCAGCACUGCAACAGUGCCUGACACAUAGCAUGUGCUCAGUGAUAUCUGUUAUAUGCAUGAAUGAGUGGGGCUGGACUGUGAGCUGAUGAGGUUCUUGCCAUGGCUAACUCCAGGCAGUCAUGUCAUUUGGCCCAGUUCCACUCCCUUCUGGGCCUGACUCAAUUCAUCUGGGUAAUGAGGAGGGCACAGGAGCUGCUGCGUAAGCUGCCCUCCAGCAGUAAUAAUUGAUGAGUCCAGGCAGUAUCCACUUACCACGCCAAAGAGGUCCAAGCAGCAGGCAACAGGGGAAGGGAGGCAGGAAGCAGCUGCCAGGAUGACUAAUUGGGAUCUCAUGUCAUUGGCUCCACGUGCCAAUCCUUACAGACCUCAGCAAAGCUCAGGACUAUUAGCUCCUGAGACUCAUGCAGUCUCCUGGUCUGACCUGUCCCUCAGUGACACUCGAAAAAUAACUCAGCCAGGCGUGAUGGCACACGUCUCUAUUUCCAGUUACUUGGGAGGCUGAGGUGGGAAGAUCACUUAUGCCCAGGAGGUUGAGGCUGCAGUGAGCCCUGAUCACUCUGCUGCAUUCCAGCCUGGGCAACAGAGCAAGAUUCUGACUCAAAAAAAAGAAGAAAAAGAAAGAAAAAGAAAAAAUAACUAAUAACUUCAUCUUACAGUGGUGACACGGAGACCUGGAGCAGGAAUACAGAGAUGUGCCAAACUUUGUACAGAAAUUUUGCAAAACUAGAUUCAGCUCUCAUUCCACAAAUACCAGGACCUCCCCUGCACCAGGCACUGUUCUAGGCAAGGACAGAGCAAUGAAGAGGGGAAGCUCCUCACCUGUGUUUCCUCGUGAGGCCUGAAGCGCCUGCUUUCCCUUCCACCUCCUGCUCUCCAGCCUCUUAAGUCCCCUCACUCUGUGGUCAAUCUAAUUGGAUAGAACCCUUUCAUCUCAAAACCAAAACAACAGCGACCCAUGCACACUCCUAGUAGACCAAUGGGACUGUAGCACUGAUUUCACCAUAUGCCCCUCCUGCAUCCCAGGGACGUCAACUCUGCACUUCAGUCCAGCUUUCAGGAAACUCCAAAUCUCUCCCCCAUUCCCACCUCUUCCUGUCUAUGGUCCCACUGUGAGCCGAUAGAGUUCUCACCACGGCUGACACCAGGCAGCCAUGUGGUUGGGGCCAGUCCCAUUCCCUUCUGGGCCUGAUUCAGUUCAUCUGGCUAAUGAGGAGGGCACAUGAGCCUUCUGUGCCUGUUGGGCCGGCUGCCUCAGUGACCACUGCCAAUUGUGUGUUCCCCUUAUUCAGCACCUUCAUACCUUCUUCCGGUUUUGCCCAUCUGAGCUGAAUCAAUUCCUCCAUCUUCACAGGGAGGUAGCCUUCUCUCAGUCCCCAAACCCUUGAUAAGGGAACGCACCACCACCUCGCAGGCCUGCCUGACUUGAGUGCAUCACAGUUCUCCACCUAAUUAUUUGUUGUCCCGGAUUGUUUCAUGUAUGUAUGUCUGAUCUCUCCAUAAGACUGUAAACUUACUGAGGGCAGAGAUGACGCUUACCUUUCCAUAUCCUACAUGCUUUAGCCUGGUGCCUACUCACUGGGCAAUCCAUCAGUGAUGAGUUUACCUGGAUUUACUAAUUCGUGAUAUUUACAAAGAAUACAUUUGGGAAAAUGUGUAUUUGUUUACAGAUGUUAAAAGGAAAACGUAAAAUACAAGAUUGUAUGUACAGCUUGAUAAUCACAGUGUCAAUUACGUGUUCAUAUGGGUAAAACUGGAAGGCAAUUGGUAAAAAUAAAGAGUAGUGUGAGGGCUGUUAGAUUAUGAGUGAUUUGUUUAAAUAAUCUGUGAAUAUUGUUACUGCACUGUUUAUGCAUUUGAAAAGCCUUUUUUUUUUAUCCUAACCAGUAGACCACCAGGGAUAAAAUGAUUUUUAAAAAUACAUAGAGGGCUUUAA